This 76-nucleotide transfer RNA is filed under the name Candidatus Sumerlaeota bacterium. Its description in RNAcentral is "tRNA-Lys". It matches the Rfam family "tRNA". From Rfam's summary of the family: Transfer RNA (tRNA) molecules are approximately 80 nucleotides in length. RNAcentral also lists the same sequence under 1 other name. Lineage: Bacteria; Candidatus Sumerlaeota. The record is from RNAcentral.
GGCCGAUUAGCUCAAUUGGUAGAGCAGCAGACUCUUAAUCUGUUUGUUCUGGGUUCGAGUCCCAGAUCGGUCACCA